AUUGAACGCUGGCGGCAUGCCUUACACAUGCAAAUCGAACGGUAACGGGCCUUCGGGUGCCGACGAGUGGCGAACGGGGGUGUAAUACAUCGGAAAGUGCCCGAGCGUGGGGGAUAACGCGGCGAAAGCUUUGCUAAUACCGCAUACGAUCUACGGAUGAAAGCAGGGGACCGCAAGGCCUUGCGCGGACGGAGCGGCCGAUGGCGGAUUAGGUAGUUGGUGGGAUAAAAGCUUACCAAGCCGACGAUCUGUAGCUGGUCUGAGAGGAUGAUCAGCCACACUGGGACUGAGACACGGCCCAGACUCCUACGGGAGGCAGCAGUGGGGAAUUUUGGACAAUGGGCGCAAGCCUGAUCCAGCCAUGCCGCGUGCAGGAUGAAGGCCUUCGGGUUGUAAACUGAUUUUGUACGGAACGAAAAGCCUUCUUUUAAUACAGGAGGGUCAUGACGGUACCGUAAGAAUAAGCACCGGCUAACUACGUG
RNAcentral lists this ribosomal RNA (482 nucleotides) under uncultured bacterium. Its description in RNAcentral is "partial 16S ribosomal RNA". It matches the Rfam family "Bacterial small subunit ribosomal RNA", at positions 30 to 507 of the family's 1533-position model. The record is from RNAcentral.